GGUAUACCUCUAGUUUGGAGCUGUGCUGUAAAAACAAGAGUAACAUUCUUAUAUUAAAGUUAAAUAAAGUUACAACUUUGAAGAGAGUUUCUGCAAGACAUGACACAAAGCUGCUAGCAGAAAAUCAAAACACUGAUUAAAAGAAGCACGUUAAACUAACUCGAGAUUCUCAGAGUUUAUGCCCAUAUGAUUGGAUUGGUUUCCAAAACAAAUGCUAUUAUUUCUCUAAAGAAGAAGGAGAUUGGAAUUCAAGUAAAUACAACUGUUCCACUCAACAUGCCGACCUAACUAUAAUUGACAACAUAGAAGAAAUGGUAAGUAAUUUAAUAUACAUUCUUUGUGAAUUUCUUGAGUCGGAGCAUUAGAAAUAUUCAAACACCAUUAUAAUCUUGAAGUCUUUUCACUCAUGCCUAUCUAUGCAGAAAAUUGAAGAUGUUCAGAAUAUGCCAUGUGACAUAAAGGUGAAACACCUAGUGAUGCUUUGUUUGAAGAACAUAAGACUAACAUCAAGUAGUAGACUUAAUACCUAUCUUUAUAUUUUAAAGAGCGUACACAGAAGAGCUUGAUAAUGUUUGAAAACGUUUUAAGAGCCAGUACUCCACCAAGAAAGGAGAAUUGUCUGAGGAAGGAGGGGAUUCUGCAUUCUACUUCCUGAGAGAAACUUUGCUCUGACUUCUCCAUUUUGUUUUGCUGCCUGUCUCUGAGGUCCUGUGGCAGCUUCCAUUAGAACACUCUCUACCAGUAAUGCAAUAGAGAGGAAAAUCAAAAUUUCCUCCUAGACCGGAGUGUCAGUUUUCAGUGAGCAGAUACCAUGUCUUCUGUGAAAUUUUAUCCUUAGCAUUAUGCACAAAGCAGGUAC
This 859-nucleotide small RNA is filed under the name Pan troglodytes (chimpanzee). Its description in RNAcentral is "retained intron". Lineage: Eukaryota; Metazoa; Chordata; Mammalia; Primates; Hominidae. The record is from RNAcentral.